UACGAGGGGGGCUAGCGUUGCUCGGAAUCACUGGGCGUAAAGCGCACGUAGGCGGAUCUUUAAGUCAGGGGUGAAAUCCCAAGGCUCAACCUUGGAACUGCCCUUGAUACUGGGGAUCUCGAGUCCGGAAGAGGUUGGUGGAACUCCGAGUGUAGAGGUGAAAUUCGUAGAUAUUCGGAAGAACACCAGUGGCGAAGGCGGCCAACUGGUCCGGCACUGACGCUGAGGUGCGAAAGCGUGGGGAGCAAACAGG
Molecule: ribosomal RNA, 253 nt
Filed under: uncultured bacterium
Lineage: Bacteria
Description: partial 16S ribosomal RNA
Rfam family: Bacterial small subunit ribosomal RNA
Source: RNAcentral